This 325-nucleotide ribosomal RNA is filed under the name uncultured eukaryote. RNAcentral's name for it is "partial 18S ribosomal RNA". It matches the Rfam family "Eukaryotic small subunit ribosomal RNA", at positions 1470 to 1796 of the family's 1831-position model. The record is from RNAcentral.
CCCUUAGAUGUUCUGGGCCGCACGCGCGCUACACUGACUGGUUCAUCGAGUAUACAACCUUGACUGAUAGGUCUGGGUAAUCUUCUCAAAGCCAGUCGUGCUGGGGAUAGAUUAUUGUAAUUUUUAAUCUUCAACGAGGAAUUCCUAGUAAACGCGAGUCAUCAACUCGCAUUGAUUACGUCCCUGCCCUUUGUACACACCGCCCGUCGCUCCUACCGAUUGAAUGCUCAGGUGAGCCAUUCGGACCUUCAUCAUGCCGGUUUCCGGUUUUGAUGAGGGAAAGUCUUGCGAACCUUAUCAUUUAGAGGAAGGAGAAGUCGUAACA